UCUCCGUAGGUGAACCUGCGGAGGGAUCAUUACAGAGUUCUCGCCCUCACGGGUAGAUCUCCCACCCACUGUUAUCGUUACUGUCGUUUCUUUGGCGGGCCGCCGGGUCCCCGGCCGCCGGCGCCUAGCUGCCGGCGCGCGCCCGCCAGAGGCCUUCCAACUCUGAAUGUUAGUGUCGUCUGAGUACUAUAUAAUAGUUAAAACUUUCAACAACGGAUCUCUUGGUUCUGGCAUCGAUGAAGAACGGCAGC
This 251-nucleotide unclassified non-coding RNA is filed under the name plant metagenome. RNAcentral's name for it is "partial contains small subunit ribosomal RNA, internal transcribed spacer 1, and 5.8S ribosomal RNA". The stretch from base 202 to 251 matches the Rfam family "5.8S ribosomal RNA", at positions 1 to 49 of the family's 154-position model. The record is from RNAcentral.